Molecule: long non-coding RNA, 2056 nt
Organism: Diorhabda carinulata
Lineage: Eukaryota; Metazoa; Arthropoda; Insecta; Coleoptera; Chrysomelidae
Exons: 3
Source: RefSeq, a predicted model, not a curated record
GCAGGUAAGUAGGAGCAGAUAUAUCCGCCAUUUUGUAAGUUCAUUGAAUUAGUGCUAAAUAAAACAUUGCAAGUUUAAAACAUUUUUUGUGGUUUGGUUUUUUGAGUCAAAAUUAAAAGGAGUACUUUCAAAAAUACUCUCAUAUUAUUCACAAAUAACAUCAUCCCAGACACAGACCCUCCAAAAAAGAUGGAACCUUUCCAAAAUAGCAGCAUUUAUUUCUAUUAUUUUAUUGCUCUUUCGGGAUCGGGAUGCUAUCGAUUCGGUCAGGUUAGGUUAGGUUAGGUUAGGUCCGGUGCGUUUACUAUCGUAUUUCUAUUUUUUCUUCUUUUUUCGUGGCACGAAUAGGCCUUUUUUGACCGAAUUUUUAAUUCCCUAUCAUUUCUACCUUCCAAUUCCUCUUGGCGUUUGUCGGAGGUUUAUCCGAAAUAUUUAAAUUGAACUACGUACGUGAAAAAAAAAACAAAUGACGAAAUGGAUAUUUAAAAUGACGAAUGAAAGGAAUAUGAGGUUAAGCUGAAAAUUAUCGAUGAUAAAUAUCCUUACACCUUGUAAAGUCUGAAAUUUAGAAUAUUUUACCCGGAGUAAAGUGAUCAUAUUUUAAAAAUUAUAUGUCGCCCCAUAUAAAUCACAUGAUUUACUUUAAACAUAAAUGUAAAGUCAUUUGCAAAUUAUUUGUUACACCAUAGAUAUAACUAAAAUAUAGAUCGCCAUCUGGGAAUACAAUUAUCCAUACAUUAUUUCAAGGUCUAACAUUGUCUAUCUCUACGGUAUUCCAAAUAAUUUGCAAAUAAUAGUACAAUAUGUACAUAAAUGUAUUUACGUCUACGCUUUACCGUAGUUAAAGAUGUUAUUUUUUACAAUAACAGUACAAUUAUUGAUUAAUACUAGUGUAUUUUUUAACCAGUAUGACCAGGAGAGAUGGUACAUUUCAGGUCUUUAAAACUAACUAGUUCAAAUGUAAAUAUACCAGUACCGUACUGAUAAAAACAGUACGGAUGGUCAUCUUACUGGAAGUUAUAUGAUGAGACAUGUUAAACUAUUUUAUAUUAAUACGUACGUAGGUAAUGAAUAAUUUCUAAUCGCAUUGAAAAUAAUUCGUGCAUUGUUGAGACAUUAUUGGAAACAAAAGUUAAAGCAGCCGUGAUAGCAAAGAAAAUAUGUGAAAUUGAGUGAGAAAAUACAGUUAAGAGCGAACGAGACAGCGUUGGUUUAAUCGUAUUAAUAGUAGGGCUGGACAAUUAUCAAAAAAUAUAAUCGAUUAUCGAUUAUUUUCGACAUCGAAAAUAAUUGAUCACUCGAAAAUAACUGACUAAUCCAAAAUAAUCGAUAAAUCGGAAAUAAUCGAUUAAUCGAAAAUAAUCAAUUUUCGAUUAUUCGAAAAUCGGAGAUAAAGCUUCAAAAGAACGAUUGUGGUUUGAUUCCUACAAAAAAACACGAUAAAGAGCGAGUAUACAACUAGGAACAUACAGAAGACAUUAUGGUUUGAUUCCCAAUAAAAACAAAUCAAAUAAUGAACCUACAGAAGAUAUUUGGAAGUCGUCCAUCUGCUUGAGAUAUUGAGGUUAUAAGAGAAUUAGUGAAAGACUAACCUGGUACCAGCACGCGCCGAUUAUCGGACUUCUUUGGAUUUCUUGGAAAGUCUUGUUGUGUGUCUGGUGAAAUUAUGAAGGUUUGUUUAUAUAGUGGACUUCGAAAUCAUACUAAAUAAUCCAGCAAUUGUUACCGAGGUAUAAAGUGGGUAGUUGAUACAAAUGCAUGAGGUUUUAUCGGUGAAAUAUCCAAAGUUAACCGGAAACAGAUCUUACAAUAAUACUAAACCACGUACUGCGAUAGUUACGCGGAAUAUGAUUAGUGGUAUUGACUUCCUACCACAUCCAGCAUUUAGCCUGAACCUUGCACCUGAUUACUAUUCAUACGAGUAAAAAUGUAAAUUCAAAGGAAAUGUUGAAAACGCAGUGCCAACUUACUGAACGUUGUAUACGAUGGGCUAUACUUCGAAUAUAAAGGUUGUUUUUUUGUAUGAUUAUUUAAUAAACAAAGUGAACAUUGAAAA